RNAcentral lists this ribosomal RNA (253 nucleotides) under uncultured bacterium. Its description in RNAcentral is "partial 16S ribosomal RNA". It matches the Rfam family "Bacterial small subunit ribosomal RNA", at positions 524 to 776 of the family's 1533-position model. The record is from RNAcentral.
GACGUAGGGUGCGAGCGUUGUUCGGAAUUACUGGGCGUAAAGCGCACGUAGGCGGCUUUGUAAGUUAGAGGUGAAAGCCCGGGGCUCAACUCCGGAAUUGCCUUUAAGACUGCAUCGCUAGAAUUGUGGAGAGGUAAGUGGAAUUCCGAGUGUAGAGGUGAAAUUCGUAGAUAUUCGGAAGAACACCAGUGGCGAAGGCGACUUACUGGACACAUAUUGACGCUGAGGUGCGAAAGCGUGGGGAGCAAACAGG